CGGCUCCCGGCUUAGCCCGAUCUGGAGGUGGAAGGCAACGCCGCCGCCGGCAGCAGCCCCCGGCGGCGGCAACGGGCUGGGCGGCCGGAUCAGCGGAGGGGCGCUCAUCGAAAACUUCCCGCCGGAGCCAAGAGGUACUGAAUUGAUGUUUAAAGUGAACUGCAUGCUCCCAUAACUUCUCUCCUGAAGCAGACACCAUUGGGGAGGAAGCUCUUUGGUUCAAAAGCAGAGCAUUGAAAAAAAAAAUUAGCCAAGGAAGAGGGAGGGAAAACAGACUGGUAAAUACAAUGGAAUGAAAUUUGGGAAGAAAUGUGGAGUCUGUGAUGGAAAAUAAGAGGACAUCAGAGUUGGAAAUGCAAAUGUCACUGGAUCUGGGGAUCACCUCCCUUCUAGUCAGUACUGAAGAAACAGUUAAGACAAUGUAUGUUCCACAACAGUAAAGGAUCCAUGGUGAUGUGAUGAUUAAG
Long non-coding RNA from Grus americana (Whooping crane), 467 nucleotides. RefSeq lists it as uncharacterized. The transcript has 3 exons. The record is from RefSeq and is a predicted model, not a curated record. Lineage: Eukaryota; Metazoa; Chordata; Aves; Gruiformes; Gruidae.